UAGGGAAUCUUCGGCAAUGGACGAAAGUCUGACCGAGCAACGCCGCGUGAGUGAAGAAGGUUUUCGGAUCGUAAAACUCUGUUGUUAGAGAAGAACAAGGACGUUAGUAACUGAACGUCCCCUGACGGUAUCUAACCAGAAAGCCACGGCUAACUACGUGCCAGCAGCCGCGGUAAUACGUAGGUGGCAAGCGUUGUCCGGAUUUAUUGGGCGUAAAGCUAGCGCAGGCGGUUUCUUAAGUCUGAUGUGAAAGCCCCCGGAUCAACCGGGGAGGGUCAUUGGAAACUGGGAGACUUGAGUGCAGAAGAGGAGAGUGGAAUUCCAUGUGUAGCGGAGAAAUGAGUAGAUAUAGGGAGGAAAACAAGUGGCGAAGGCGGCUCUCUGGUCUGUAAAUGACGAUGAGGCUAGAAAGCGUGGGGAGCAAACAGG
Molecule: ribosomal RNA, 429 nt
Filed under: Gemmatimonadota bacterium
Lineage: Bacteria; Pseudomonadati; Gemmatimonadota
Description: Gemmatimonadetes bacterium partial 16S ribosomal RNA
Rfam family: Bacterial small subunit ribosomal RNA
Source: RNAcentral